GACGAACGCUGGCGGCGUGCUUAACACAUGCAAGUCGAACGGAAAGGCCCUGCUUUUGUGGGGUGCUCGAGUGGCGAACGGGUGAGUAACACGUGAGUAACCUGCCCUUGACUUUGGGAUAACUUCAGGAAACUGGGGCUAAUACCGGAUAGGAGCUCCUGCUGCAUGGUGGGGGUCGGAAAGUUUCGGCGGUUGGGGAUGGACUCGCGGCUUAUCAGCUUGUUGGUGGGGUAGUGGCUUACCAAGGCUUUGACGGGUAGCCGGCCUGAGAGGGUGGCCGGCCACAAUGGGACUGAGAUACGGCCCAGACUCCUACGGGAGGCAGCAGUGGGGAAUAUUGCACAAUGGGCGGGAGCCUGAUGCAGCAGCGCCGCGUGCGGGAUGACGGCCUUCGGGUUGUAAACCGCUUUCGCCUGUGACGAAGCGUGAGUGACGGUAAUGGGUAAAGAAGCACCGGCUAACUACGUG
This 468-nucleotide ribosomal RNA is filed under the name uncultured bacterium. RNAcentral describes it as "partial 16S ribosomal RNA". It matches the Rfam family "Bacterial small subunit ribosomal RNA", at positions 28 to 507 of the family's 1533-position model. The record is from RNAcentral.